RNAcentral lists this ribosomal RNA (468 nucleotides) under uncultured bacterium. RNAcentral describes it as "partial 16S ribosomal RNA". It matches the Rfam family "Bacterial small subunit ribosomal RNA", at positions 28 to 507 of the family's 1533-position model. The record is from RNAcentral.
GACGAACGCUGGCGGCGUGCUUAACACAUGCAAGUCGAACGGAAAGGCCCUGCUUUUGUGGGGUGCUCGAGUGGCGAACGGGUGAGUAACACGUGAGUAACCUGCCCUUGACUUUGGGAUAACUUCAGGAAACUGGGGCUAAUACCGGAUAGGAGCUCCUGCUGCAUGGUGGGGGUUGGAAAGUUUCGGCGGUUGGGGAUGGACUCGCGGCUUAUCAGCUUGUUGGUGGGGUAGUGGCUUACCAAGGCUUUGACGGGUAGCCGGCCUGAGAGGGUGACCGGCCACGUUGGGACUGAGAUACGGCCCAGACUCCUACGGGAGGCAGCAGUGGGGAAUAUUGCACUAUGGGCGGAAGCCUGAUGCAGCAACGCCGCGUGCGGGAUGACGGCCUUCGGGUUGUAAACCGCUUUCGCCUGUGACGAAGCGUGAGUGACGGUAAUGGGUAAAGAAGCACCGGCUAACUACGUG